This 75-nucleotide non-coding RNA is filed under the name Cellulosimicrobium sp. RNAcentral's name for it is "Fluoride sequence". It matches the Rfam family "Fluoride riboswitch aptamer (crcB RNA motif)". The record is from RNAcentral. Lineage: Bacteria; Bacillati; Actinomycetota; Actinomycetes; Micrococcales; Promicromonosporaceae.
GCUGGGAGCGGUGAUGGAUCCCGCCGGGGCGCAGCCGCCCGAACCGCCGCCAGGGCUGAUGGUUCCUGACUCGUC